RNAcentral lists this unclassified non-coding RNA (2329 nucleotides) under Leishmania donovani. Its description in RNAcentral is "gene:LdHU3.33.0300(CDS-product:adenosine_deaminas e-like_protein)". The record is from RNAcentral. Lineage: Eukaryota; Euglenozoa; Kinetoplastea; Trypanosomatida; Trypanosomatidae.
CUCUCUCCCGUUCGUUGUCACGCGUCUUCGCGGCGUGUGCUUGGCGGCCGUAAGCGCUCGAGCGCAGGAAGGAGUCGACGGGGCACGUUUGGGCGAAGCCACCCGGGUCCCAACUGCGCUGCUCGCUGCUCUAGAGCAUCCCACACUGCCAGUAACGCGGACGCUGUGAUCAGGUAGGGCGCCGUAGCAGAGCGUCUUUCUGCAGCGCUGCGAGGAGUUGGCGCGUGAGUGCCCCCCUCCCUCUCCCUCCAAGUGGUGCGAGUGACGGCUGCUGCUAAUCGGGUGAUGCUUCGCUCGUUGUAAGCGACUCCUUUCCCUCCAGUCUCUCUCUCGCCUAGAGCGAAGUGUGCACUUGUCUGCCCUUAUGGAGGCGAACGGCGCCAGCACGCCAGAGGAGAGAGCGGGACAGCUUAGGUGGAUUGCCGAUCAUUUGUGGAGCGAUACGCCUCAUGGCGCCGUGCACCGUGCCGUGGAGGCGCAGCCCCAGCCGGUGUGGCUCCAGCUGUGGCAUCGAGCUUUGGCGGACGGCGCACUGCGGCCGGGGCCGUCCUGUGCGUUGGCGGAUACAUCGGAGCAGGGGGCAAGCUCGAAGGGAAAGGAAAGCGCCGUUAUUGUGGCUGCGUUUGUACUCAGCAUCCCAUACCUUGAAUGCCCGUGCGCCGAAGAAGGAGGAGCCGUGAAGAGCGGCGCGAAAGCGGCAAUGCGGCGCUACGUGUGUGUCUCGCUCGGAUCAGGCUCCCGCUGCCUUGCCGCGCACGAUGCACCCCCGUCUGACGCAGGCGAGAGGGUGAGACGACUCCUUGAACUACGUGACGGUCAUGCCGAGGUGAUGGCGCGUCGUGGCUUUAUUGCUUUUCUGCUUGGGAUAGCGGAGGCGAGCGCACGCUGCAGUGACCGCGCGUACGCCGACCUCUUCCUGCGCAGACGCAGCGGCGACUGCGAUGCCGCCACGGCGGUCGGCGCUUCGGGCUCCCCGCAGUGGGAGCUGCGAGAGACGGCUGCACUGCACCUCGUAUGCACUCGAUGGAUGUGCGGCUCGCUGGCUGCCGUGGCGGGAGGCUCAGGCCGUAGCGGACACCUCCUGUUGCGCGCUGCUUGUGGCUGCUGGCUCAACCCCACCAUGCAAUCGGAGGCUUCAGCAAAAGAGGCGGAUUGUGCGUCUCCCACAGUCACUUAUGUUGACAGACACGCCUUGGCUGCUCACUAUUCGCCGCUCAACGGGGCUGCACCGCUUUUGCACGCUGCACGUGUGAAGCCCGGCAAAGGACGUGCAAACCUCUCGAUGUCUUGCACAGAUAAAGUCUGGCGGUGGCAUGCGCUGGGGGUGCAAGGCCGUCGCCGAGCCCCUAUCUUUCCUGUGCCAAUGCGACUGUCCUCCAUUCAUGUUCUGCAUCCUCCAUUUAAGGACUUGGGGGAUUUGCAGGCAGCAGCGGAUAAUGCAGCGGCCACCUUCCAGUGGCGAAGUCGUAGGUGUUGGCUUCACAAGGACAGCGACGCGACACUGCCAUCGACUCCGAAGUUCGCCUUCUUUAGCAGUGCCGACUUUGCCGCUACAAGUCCGCUGGCAGCCGCGAAGUUACGCGAUGCUGGUGCGUCCAUUGACAGCAACUACUCGCGCAGCCGGUGGCUGUGCGUCAGGUCUGUGGUGGCUAGCCGAAAACGUGGCCGUGACGAGGAGGCGGAGGCACCGGCUUUAGGCAGCGCUACGUGCAGCUGGCAGUGCUUCCGUUCUGGGGGAGACCAUGACUGCUCUCUCGUACUGAACACGAAGGCUGGGCUGCCACAGGGAAUGACAGGGCGCGUGUUGGCGCGACGCUGCAGCACGUCGCCAGAGAUACCAUGGCAGCAGUGCCCCCUCUCCCGUCCGUGGAUGCAUCAUCGCGUAAGGCAGCUACAGGCGUCCCUCACAGAGAUUGCACUGAUCUCUGCGUCCAUGAAGGCGAGUGCGGCUCCGGCAUCGUACGCCAUGGCUGCAAUUGGCGAACGUGAUGCUCAGACGAUCAUUGCUGACGCAGAGAAUCUUUCCAUGAGCCAGCGCGUGCAUCGCCAUCACCUGCAGCCACUGGGCACUGGUGACGACUCCAUACGGCUUCUCUGGGCAUCAUCAUCGCACAUGGAUGGCGCUGAUCUACGCCUACGCGCCACGGAGAACUUCGAAGGCUCGCCGUGAAAAUCUGCACCCGCGUGUGCGCAUGCGUCAGCUUGUGAGAAGUGAUGGUGGUGGUGGACUUUGCGGGCUCGAAAGGCAGCAUCGUCGGACACCAACGGUACUCUCUGCGUGGCCGGUGCCGUUUCACAGCUCUUUCAAGGCAAAAAAAAACGAAAUUUU